CAGCAGCCACGGGAAUACGUAUGUCGCGAGCGUUAUCCGGAAUUAUUGGGCAUAAAGGGCAUCUAGGCGGCCGGAUAAGUCUGGGGUGAAAACUUGCGGCUCAACCGCAAGCCUGCCCUGGAAACUAUGCGGCUAGAGUACUGGAGAGGUGGACGGAACUGCACGAGUAGAGGUGAAAUUCGUAGAUAUGUGCAGGAAUGCCGAUGAUGAAGAUAGUUCACUGGACGGUAACUGACGCUGAAGUGCGAAAGCUAGGGGAGCAAACAGGAUUAGAUACCCCUGUAGUCCCUGUCUCUUAUAC
Molecule: ribosomal RNA, 301 nt
Filed under: uncultured bacterium
Lineage: Bacteria
Description: partial 16S ribosomal RNA
Rfam family: Bacterial small subunit ribosomal RNA
Source: RNAcentral